This 242-nucleotide ribosomal RNA is filed under the name Streptococcus agalactiae. RNAcentral describes it as "partial 16S ribosomal RNA". It matches the Rfam family "Bacterial small subunit ribosomal RNA", at positions 1 to 233 of the family's 1533-position model. The record is from RNAcentral. Lineage: Bacteria; Bacillati; Bacillota; Bacilli; Lactobacillales; Streptococcaceae.
UUUAAUGAGAGUUUGAUCCUGGCUCAGGACGAACGCUGGCGGCGUGCCUAAUACAUGCAAGUAGAACGCUGAUGUUUGGUGUUUACACUAGACUGAUGAGUUGCGAACGGGUGAGUAACGCGUAGGUAACCUGCCUCAUAGCGGGGGAUAACUAUUGGAAACGAUAGCUAAUACCGCAUAAGAGUAAUUAACACAUGUUAGUUAUUUAAAAGGAGCAAUUGCUUCACUGUGAGAUGGACCUG